Long non-coding RNA from Macadamia integrifolia, 696 nucleotides. RefSeq lists it as uncharacterized. Lineage: Eukaryota; Viridiplantae; Streptophyta; Magnoliopsida; Proteales; Proteaceae. The record is from RefSeq and is a predicted model, not a curated record. The transcript has 2 exons.
AAGCGAAACCACCCAACAACCUACCUCUGUUCUCACAGUGACCAAAAGGCCUAUCCCAAACUCAAACAUAGCCAUUGGAGUGUCAAGUGAGGGCAAGUAGCGUAGUAUUCUUGAGGUGAUGAUGGCUUCAACCAAGGCUCCAUUUUGACUACAACAAGCUUUGCUUAAUACAUAGUUCCUCUCAGCUCUCAGUUCAUUAUUUUUUUUCCCAGAGAUUAAAAUGGGGACAUUUACAGUUCUGGGUGAGGCCAAUUUUGUGAUACAUUCCCAGAUUGAAGCCUUUUGGUGUUCUUACCUCGUUAGGAAACUGGAGAAAUGAGUGCUUGAAAUGGUGGUAGAAACAUAACCCAACAACAUUAUUUUAACGCUUCAAUUGCAGAGAGGUUUGAGCUCUUGAACUUUAACUGUAGUACUCAAAAGCAGGCAAAGCCUGAAGCCAUUAUUUCCUUUUAGUGUGACUUUUUUUGAGAAGUCUACGACAUCUGGUUCACUGUGGAAAAGGUCAGUUCUUAUGUUCUAUGUGGUUCUGCUAUAUACCUGGUUUCUCUUCUCCAUUCACAUGUUUUUGGUGUCAUUCAUCCUGUACUUCUGAUGGUUCAAAUGUAGUAUGAGUUAUGAGAAUUUUUUCUUUUUUUAUAACUACACUUUUAGUGCCCCAUUUUUGUUAAUUUUAUUUUAAUAUUUGCUUUCCUUUUU